UUAAAAUUUCUUUCGCAUUUUAAUACAUGAAAGAUUGUGAACUAUACUUGAGUAGAAUUCUACCAGAGGAAACUCUGGUGGAAUCCGAAAUGAUUCUGAUGUGCAAAUCGAUGGUCUGAUUUGGAAUAGAGGGAAAAACUAAUCGAAGUACUAGCUGGUUCCCUCUGAAGUAUCCCUCAAGAUAGUUGAAAUACGUAAUGAAGCUGUUAUAUUCGGUAAAGCGAAUGAUUGGAGGAAUUGUGGGACGAAACGUCUUCAACCUAUUCUCAAACUUUCAAUGAGUAUGACGUCUUGCUUGCUUGAAUGAAGGGUAGAUGUUGGAUUUGCACUUCACGUACGUCAUUUUUGGUAAGUAGAAUUGACGCUAUGAGAUGAACCAAAUGUUAAUGCCAGGAUAAUUUCUCUCAUUUUAAUGCAGGAAUGGUCAAUAAUAGAAACUCGCCAGUUGGAAAAUAAUAGAAAUGUGC
This 467-nucleotide non-coding RNA is filed under the name Onchocerca ochengi. Its description in RNAcentral is "Eukaryotic large subunit ribosomal RNA". It matches the Rfam family "Eukaryotic large subunit ribosomal RNA", at positions 790 to 1267 of the family's 3401-position model. Lineage: Eukaryota; Metazoa; Nematoda; Chromadorea; Rhabditida; Onchocercidae. The record is from Rfam by way of RNAcentral.